Molecule: long non-coding RNA, 488 nt
Filed under: Cyanistes caeruleus (blue tit)
Lineage: Eukaryota; Metazoa; Chordata; Aves; Passeriformes; Paridae
Description: lncRNA (ENSCCEG00000006302.1)
Source: RNAcentral
GUUCGCCGGGGCCAGGGUGAGUCCAGCCCGGCGGGGUCCCGGCGGGACAGGGGAGGCAGGAGAGCGGCAAAGGGCGCUGGCACAGCCCGGUCACCUGCCCGCAGGUACCCGGUGCCGGACAGGGAUGGCCGGGUGGCGUCCCCAUCCAGCCCGGCCCGACACGGACACACAGGGACCGGGAGCCGUCCCAGUGCCCCGAGCACUCACUCGGGAGCUGCUCGGGGUCUGGCUGGGUGAGCUGGGAAGGGACUUUGGGAUGGAUGCGUUUUCCGAACAUCCCUUCCAGCCUCAGAUCUCAUAGAUGGAUCCAACCCAGAGGUCUCUGAAGAGCAGAGGACUCGGGGUAAGGUCUGGAUUUAAUUCAAUUUAAUUCCUGACCCUUUAAGUAUUCUUCAAAAUGAGAAAACUGGAAAUCAGCCUAGCAGGAGUCACCUGCUGGAAAGAAAUAUUUGAAGUUUUGCUAGAAAUAAACACCAUACAGGCAUCCA